This 1421-nucleotide ribosomal RNA is filed under the name Klebsiella pneumoniae. RNAcentral describes it as "bacterial SSU rRNA". It matches the Rfam family "Bacterial small subunit ribosomal RNA". Lineage: Bacteria; Pseudomonadati; Pseudomonadota; Gammaproteobacteria; Enterobacterales; Enterobacteriaceae. The record is from RNAcentral.
GGUAGCACAGAGAGCUUGCUCUCGGGUGACGAGCGGCGGACGGGUGAGUAAUGUCUGGGAAACUGCCUGAUGGAGGGGGAUAACUACUGGAAACGGUAGCUAAUACCGCAUAAUGUCGCAAGACCAAAGUGGGGGACCUUCGGGCCUCAUGCCAUCAGAUGUGCCCAGAUGGGAUUAGCUAGUAGGUGGGGUAACGGCUCACCUAGGCGACGAUCCCUAGCUGGUCUGAGAGGAUGACCAGCCACACUGGAACUGAGACACGGUCCAGACUCCUACGGGAGGCAGCAGUGGGGAAUAUUGCACAAUGGGCGCAAGCCUGAUGCAGCCAUGCCGCGUGUGUGAAGAAGGCCUUCGGGUUGUAAAGCACUUUCAGCGGGGAGGAAGGCGUUAAGGUUAAUAACCUUGUCGAUUGACGUUACCCGCAGAAGAAGCACCGGCUAACUCCGUGCCAGCAGCCGCGGUAAUACGGAGGGUGCAAGCGUUAAUCGGAAUUACUGGGCGUAAAGCGCACGCAGGCGGUCUGUCAAGUCGGAUGUGAAAUCCCCGGGCUCAACCUGGGAACUGCAUUCGAAACUGGCAGGCUAGAGUCUUGUAGAGGGGGGUAGAAUUCCAGGUGUAGCGGUGAAAUGCGUAGAGAUCUGGGAGGAAUACCGGUGGCGAAGGCGGGCCCCCUGGACAAAGACUGACGCUCAGGUGCGAAAGCGUGGGGAGCAAACAGGAUUAGAUACCCUGGUAGUCCACGCCGUAAACGAUGUCGAUUUGGAGGUUGUGCCCUUGAGGCGUGGCUUCCGGAGCUAACGCGUUAAAUCGACCGCCUGGGGAGUACGGCCGCAAGGUUAAAACUCAAAUGAAUUGACGGGGGCCCGCACAAGCGGUGGAGCAUGUGGUUUAAUUCGAUGCAACGCGAAGAACCUUACCUGGUCUUGACAUCCACAGAACUUUCCAGAGAUGGAUUGGUGCCUUCGGGAUCUGUGAGACAGGUGCUGCAUGGCUGUCGUCAGCUCGUGUUGUGAAAUGUUGGGUUAAGUCCCGCAACGAGCGCAACCCUUAUCCUUUGUUGCCAGCGGUUCGGCCGGGAACUCAAAGGAGACUGCCAGUGAUAAACUGGAGGAAGGUGGGGAUGACGUCAAGUCAUCAUGGCCCUUACGACCAGGGCUACACACGUGCUACAAUGGCAUAUACAAAGAGAAGCGACCUCGCGAGAGCAAGCGGACCUCAUAAAGUAUGUCGUAGUCCGGAUUGGAGUCUGCAACUCGACUCCAUGAAGUCGGAAUCGCUAGUAAUCGUAGAUCAGAAUGCUACGGUGAAUACGUUCCCGGGCCUUGUACACACCGCCCGUCACACCAUGGGAGUGGGUUGCAAAAGAAGUAGGUAGCUUAACCUUCGGGAGGGCGCUUACCACUUUGUGAUUCAUGACUGGG